Molecule: ribosomal RNA, 497 nt
Filed under: uncultured bacterium
Lineage: Bacteria
Description: partial 16S ribosomal RNA
Rfam family: Bacterial small subunit ribosomal RNA
Source: RNAcentral
GAUGAACGCUGGCGGCGUGCCUAAUACAUGCAAGUCGAGCGAACAGAUAAGGAGCUUGCUCCUUUGACGUUAGCGGAAGAAGGGUGAGUAACACGUGGGUAACCUAACUAUAAGACUGGAAUAACUCCGGGAAACCGGGGCUAAUGCCGGAUAACAUUUAGAACCGCAUGGUUCUAAAGUGAAAGAUGGUUUUACUAUCACUUAUAGAUGGACCCGCGCCGUAUUAGCUAGUUGGUAAGGUAACGGCUUACCAAGGCAACGAUACGUAGCCGACCUGAGAGGGGGUGCGGCAAAAGGGGAACUGAAACACGGUCAAGACUCAGACGGGAGGCAGAAGAAGGGAAACUACCGAAAUGGGCGAAAGCCGGAAGGAGAAACGACGGGGGAGGGAGGAAGGUCUUGGGAUCGAAAAACUUUUUUAUGGGGGAAAAAAAAAUGGGAAAGUAAGUGUGCACGUCUGGAGGGUACAUAAUAAGAAAGCCACGGCUAACUACGUG